GGAGCUUUGUAAAAGCUUACUGGAGUCCUGUCCCACAAACUGCCAGUUAUUGGAAACCCUCGCAGCUUUGUAUUUGAAAACAGAUUGUUAUGACAAAGCCCGAUGGGUUUGGCUUACUGCAUUUGAAAAUAAUCCUCAGAAUGCGGAAAUUUUUUAUCAUCUCUGCAAAUUUUUCAUCUUGCAGAACGGAGGUGAUAAGCUUCUUCCACUUUUGAGACAAUUUAUUGGAUCCUUCUUUAAACCUGGCUUUGAGAAGUAUAGUAAUGUGGAUUUAUUUCGGUAUCUCUUAAAUAUCCCAGGACCACUUGACAUUCCAGCGUGCUUAUGUAAAGGAAAUUUUGAUGAUGAUGUAUUUAACAACCAAGUCCCUUAUUUAUGGCUGAUUUACUGCCUUUGUCAUCCUCUUCAGUCAAGUAUUAAAGAGACAAUAGAAGCAUAUGAAGCAGCAUUAGGGGUGGCCAUGAGGUCUGAUAUCGUGCAGAAGAUUUGGAUGGAGUAAGUUUAGCUCUGUUUAAGAAAGGGAUUUUUGGAGUAGUCCUAUGGUGGGGAAAGGGUGAUCAUCUUUUUGCUGAGUUACUGGCUUAAUUAUUCUGAAGCACAAUGUCUUUCUUUUGGCAGUUAUCUUGUCUUUGCCAAUAAUAGAGCUGCUGGAUCCAGAAAUAAAGUCCAAGAAUUCAAAUUUUUUACUGACUUAGUGAAUAGAUGUUUGGUUA
Molecule: long non-coding RNA, 713 nt
Filed under: Rattus norvegicus (Norway rat)
Lineage: Eukaryota; Metazoa; Chordata; Mammalia; Rodentia; Muridae
Description: long non-coding RNA NONRATT025806
Source: RNAcentral